UACGUAGGUGGUAAGCGUUAUCCGGAUUUAUUGGGCGUAAAGAGAACGCAGGCGGUCUUUUAAGUCUGAUGUGAAAGCCUUCGGCUUAACCGGAGUAGUGCAUUGGAAACUGGGAGACCUGAGUGCAGAAGAGGAGAGUGGAACUCCAUGUGUAGCGGUGAAAUGCGUAGAUAUAUGGAAGAACACCAGUGGCGAAAGCGGCUCUCUGGUCUGUAACUGACGCUGAGGUUCGAAAGCGUGGGGAGCAAACAGG
RNAcentral lists this ribosomal RNA (253 nucleotides) under uncultured bacterium. RNAcentral's name for it is "partial 16S ribosomal RNA". It matches the Rfam family "Bacterial small subunit ribosomal RNA", at positions 524 to 776 of the family's 1533-position model. The record is from RNAcentral.